CGCGAAUGGCUCAUUACAACAGCCACUGUUUACUUGAUCUUGACUAUCCUACUUGGAUAACUGUGGUAAUUCUAGAGCUAAUACACGCAAUAAAGCUCCGACCUUACGGGACGAGCGCAUUUAUUAGACCAAAACCAAUCGGGCUUCGGCCUGAGCCGUUGGUGACUCUGAAUAACUGAGCUGAUCGCAUGGUCUUUGUACCGGCGACGCAUCUUUCAAGUGUCUGCCUUAUCAACUUUCGAUGGUAGUUUAUGUGCCUACCAUGGUUGUUACGGGUAACGGAGAAUAAGGGUUCGACUCCGGAGAGGGAGCCUGAGAAACGGCUACCACAUCCAAGGAAGGCAGCAGGCGCGCAAAUUACCCACUCUUGGCACGAGGAGGUAGUGACGAAAAAUAACGAGGCGGUUCUCUAUGAGGCCCGCUAUCGGAAUGGGUACAAUUUAAACCCUUUAACGAGGACCUAUGAGAGGGCAAGUCUGGUGCCAGCAGCCGCGGUAAUUCCAGCU
Molecule: ribosomal RNA, 506 nt
Filed under: Plectus minimus
Lineage: Eukaryota; Metazoa; Nematoda; Chromadorea; Plectida; Plectidae
Description: SSU rRNA
Rfam family: Eukaryotic small subunit ribosomal RNA
Source: RNAcentral